CCAAUCCUCUGAAAGCCUGUCACACACACACACAGGCCCAUUAGGAGAUUAGCAUGAUAGUUAGAUGACAGUCAGUGUGACCACCAUCAUAUGAUGGUGUGUGAGCGCAUGUGUCCAUGUUGCUUAUUGUAUAUCAAUAGCGACAGACAUUGCUCAGAGCAAAUAAAUAAAGUAAACCAGAAUUUUUUUUUGACAGUAAUCGACUAAAACCCUUUCUGCCACGUAUAAUCUGAAUUAGUUCAUUACCUCAAACCCAAUUAAUCCAUUCAUAAGGUUUUAAAGAGUGUGAAGAUUAAUUUUAAGGUGGGGUUGAAAAAAUUCUGUAAACAUAGUGGAAUAGAAAAAAAGACAAUGAGAGAGAGAGAGAGACGGAGGGACGUCUCUGGAAGUUUACUUAAGGAAGAGAGCAUGGAGAUGAGGUUCCACAAGAAGAAGAGAAAGAAGAAAACAAGGGAACAAUUACAUAGCAUGAACACCAUGAUAGAUGCAGGAUGGAAUAGCAACAAGAACAGGAUGGAUGUAAGAUAGAAUAUCAGGAUGGAUGGAAAGGUUAGUGUGGUAGCAAGAUGGUAGAUAAGAUAGAUAGAUAGAUAGACAAACAAAUCCACUUGUGCAGCGAAGUACAGCAAAAUAGAUCUUACUGUAUGGAGUGAAGCAGAGUAGGGAGACUAGGAGUAGCGUGUAGCUCAGGAUAGCCGUCAUAUCGGAUGAUAUCGGUUCUUCGAGGUCCUUCCCUAGAACAAUCUCACAAUAGAAAGCAGGUUGUUUGUUUUGAGGUCCUUCCCUGGAACAAUUUCACAAUAGAAAGCAGGUUGUUUGUUUUGAGGUCCUUCCCUGGAACAAUCUCACAAUAGAAAGCAGGUUGUUUGCUUCGAGGUCCUUCCCAGGAACAAUCUCACAAUAGAAAGCAAGUUGUUUGCUUCGAGGUCCUUCCCUGGAACAAUCUCACAAUAGAAAGCAAGUUGUUUGCUUCGAGGUCCUUCCCUGGAACAAUCUCACAAUAGAAAGCAGGUUGUGUGCUUCGAGGUCCUUCCCUGGAGUGAUGUGCAGGUUGUUUGCUGCUAAACCCUUCUGAUCUUAAUCCUGUCUUCUGCUCGCAGGGAAUAAAUACCCCGGUCUGCCUCUAAGGACCAGGAGAUUAGCAGUUAGCAGUAACUUCUCCACUGAGGGCGUCUUGCUCAGUUAGCAGCUAGGCUAACUCUGUCUGUCUUAACCAUCCAGGUGCUUCUUUCCAACCAAACUACUCAGUGGAAUCAUGGGGAAGUGGUGGGUGUCAUCUGACUUUGUCAACAUCUUAAUCAGAUCUGACUCCACCCAACUCCCCCCACCUCUGCCCUGGUGGGGCUAGGUAUGGUGGGACUAUUGUGUGGUGAGACUAGGUGUGUUGGGACUAGGUGCGGUGGGACUACUGUGUGGUGGGACUUGGCUUGGUGGGACUAGGUAUGGUGGGACUAGGUGUGUUAGGACUAGGUUUGGUGGCACUAGGUGUGGUGGGACUAUUGUGUGUUGGAACUAGGUGUGUUGGGACCAGGUGUAGUGAGACUAGGUGUGUUGGGACUAGGUGUGUUGGGACCAGGUGUAGUGAGACUAGGUGUGGAGGGACUAGGUGUGUUGGGACCAGGUGUAGUGAGACUAGGUGUGGAGGGACUAGGUGUGUUGGGACCAGGUGUAGUGAGACUAGGUGUGGAGGGACUAGGUGUGGUGGGACUAGGUGUGUUGGGACCAGGUGUAGUGAGACUAGGUGUGGAGGGACUAGGUGUGGUGGGACUAGGUGUAGUGAGACUAGGUGUGUUGGGACUAGGUGUGUUGGGACCAGGUGUAGUGAGACUAGGUGUGGAGGGACUAGGUGUGUUGGGACUAGGUGUGGUGGGACUAGGUGUGUUGGGACUAGGUGUGUUGGGACAUGAAGAGCGCAGUUCACAGACACUCCUUCCAAUCUGACAGAGUUUGAGAGGAUCUGCAAGGACGUUUGGGAGAAAAUGCCUAAAUCCAGGUGUGCAAAACUGGUGGAGGCAUACCCAAAGGAUUGCCUCGACUCAAAGGACUUGAAGCUGAUUGAGGCUCACCCAAAGGACUCGAGGCUGGUAUUGGCUCACCCAAAGUACUCAAAGCUGGUCGAGGCUCACCCAAAGGACUCGAGGCUGGUAUUGGCUCACCCAAAGUACUCAAAGCUGGUCGA
This is a long non-coding RNA of Esox lucius (northern pike), 2179 nucleotides long. Lineage: Eukaryota; Metazoa; Chordata; Actinopteri; Esociformes; Esocidae. The record is from Ensembl.